CUUAAUAUCAAUUGUCAUAAAACAGACUUUCUUUGCUCUGACCAUGUUUAUUACUGCAUCAGAUUUUUUUAAAUACACUUUUUUCCCGUUCGAAUUCCGUUUCUAGAAGUAUUAAAAGGCUUACAACACUCAAACACACCAACACAGUAUGUUGCAACAGAUUGUGUCCAGUGCCAAGUCCAGCAGUUCUGGAACUAGGCAAGUCAAUGCCUCCAGUGUUGUCUGCUCGUUAUUUACACAGAACUGUCUCUACUUUUCUGCUUUUAAUGGUUCUCCUCCCAUCCUUUCUCAUUUUUUCAUCCUUCUUUUACUUCUUAGAUGUCUUCUCUUCUUUCUCAAACCAUCAUUAUUUCUCUCUCACACACACUUACCAUAUAUAUAGCGAGAAAAUGGGAGAGAGCAUGCAACAAUAAUACAGCGAGGGAUAGACGGUGUAGGUUUAUUAGACGUGCUCGUACAGUUAAACACACAUAAAUAGGACUUUAGACAACAUCUCUAAAAAUGAUGGAGAAGUUUUCUGUCGCUAGGAAGCAGAAAAACGAGGGCGAUGGUUUUCAUUUGCACGCGGCUCAAUUUCCAAGAAGCCUCACACUUCUUUGUAGUAUUAAAUAACAAAAUGUCUCUGUAUUUGACUACUCAAACUACGGGUGAAAGGGAACCUUGCUACAGGUGGCAUAGCCAGCACCAGCUUGUAACUCACUACACUCCCAACAAGCAUUUGUGUGCUGCUGCUGCUGCUGUAGGUACUCGCCUCCUUUCCGUUCCCAGAAUCGGGACGAAAGAAUUUUGGUGAAAACACACAGUAUAGAGUCAUUCACAGGUGCUCUUAACACUCUUUUUGAGAAACAUCUGGAGUUUAAGGGGCACAAGUUGCAGUGUGAUUAUUGUUCAUAUCAUUUUUCUUCUUGUUGCACAGUUUCUACUGUUCGUGUUUAGCGUGCUUGAUUAACACUCAGAGCCUGCCUGUGAUGUUGAUGCGCUUAUAUAAUGAUUUAUUAUUAAAGUUGUACAACUUUUUAGAAAGACUGCGAUUGACCAUUUACACUCUAAUGCUGUACGAAUUGUGUUAGCAAGACCUAGGUUGACCAUUUACACUGUAAUGCUCUACGAAUUUAGUGGUGAACGGGUACAUCAUGUGUGACAUCAUGUGUCAAAGGUCAUAGCUUGGGAGCGACCUUCACUUCCACAUUUUUACACAAACAAGAAGCCGGAAGUGUUUGAUUUGGGGAAAGAAUAUACUUUAAGUCAAAACCUUUAAAGACACCUUAAUUUUGCUAAUUAAGUAAAUAGCGAGAAAGCUAUUCUGACUAUUUAUGUUUGCUUUCUCGUCCGUUUGUACCAUGAAUCAGAUCCACUGAUAUCAUCGCUGAGUGGAUUUCUUCGGGCGUGUUCUUGUUUACAUGUGUUACAUAGUUCUGCUGACAGUUAAUGUAAACUCCCUUUCUGACAAAAGCUCACAGCUCGUACAGUUUGUCACAUGAAGAAACUAUGAAGACUGUGAGAGGUGUGGACCGAAGUCACGUGUGUCACAGUAAGCCACAGUAAGCCACAGUAAGCCACAGAAUGACCAAAUCACAGUUCCUCCUUCCUCUUUACAAAUGAGAAUUUUUCAGGAAAAGGUUAAUAAGUUCAUAUCAUUUCCUUGUUUGUGUACUAAUAAUGUCGAAUUACAUACAUUAUCUGUCUUCCCUUUCCUGUGCUUUCGUCCUGGGAACUUUCAAACAGCCGCGAAUCCCCACAAAAAUGUUGUCGGGGUGGAAGGGCGGGGGGUUGGUAGAUGCAAACAGUGUAGAAGUACACUGAGCAAUAAGGUGGUCGCCAAAGUUCGCUGAUAAUGGAAAACUGUAUGGUUUGCUUGAGGCUGCUACUCUCAAAUUUACUCAGCUAAACAAGAAACUAGCCUGAUAAUAUGAUUUAAUAGAAAAUAUUUUAAAUACUUCACGAUUUGUCAUUUCAUUAUUUAACUAAAAAAAAAUAUAAAUGUCCUUAAAGUGGUUGUUAAAAUCCAGUGAUACAGAGACAUUGUCAUAUUUUAGAACAGGGUGAAAGUAACUGUGUUGACUUUCAAACAUUUCUAAACAUUCACCAGAAAAAAAGUGGACACUGCUACAUUUGUAUUUGUAGGAAGGUCAUAGUUCGUACCAUGACCACCAAGACCUACUUGUAGUGGGUGUGGUAGACUGAGGGGAGGGGCGAUGUGACUAGCAAGCUCUCACAACUCAGGGCUCACAAAAAUACACAUACAGAUACAGAAAUAAAUAUACAGAAUAACCGCAGAGCAGGUGGAUGGCAUGGGAUGAAAAUACAGUCACAGGAAACCGGUUAGGCUUGUUGAUCAGCACAGCUCGACAUUUAGCAAGCGUGUUGGUCUGUGGGUGGGUGGAGACGAGCAGAAGGUAGUUAUGCACAUGUCAAGUUGUGAGGUUUGUAACCUGACAGCAAAGAGAAUAUUAUUUCUUGAUAUUUUUGCGUCUUUCGAUGAACAAACAUUCUCUACAUCACAGGGCUCAGGUUACAGUCUGGAUUACUGAAAGUCAAAGAUGUCGCCAUCCGUGACACAGCUGCAUUAACAUAUCAACAUGUGUUACGAUAUCGUAUAACAUAUAUAUAAUAUCAUUGCUACAUUAUAAGUAUUCAUAGCCAUUUAGUAACAUAAAUACUCUCAUAAUCACAGACAUAGCAGCAGAUGACGAUGAUGAUUAAAUGGAUUUAUGUCAUACAUUUUUCCACUGAGGUACAAACCCAAGAAUUGAUAAUAUUGCUUGUAGAGGAGAUGGUAUUCGUUUUCGGUGUUAUCACGAGUCUGGUGGUCUGUGGUUUCUCCAGACUGCCCCAAGGGUACUUGCACUGUGACCACUUCAUGUAAACACAUACACGCGGACGUGUAGCACGUGCUGGUGGCAAGAGACUGUAGUUCCGAGGUCAUAUUCAUUGCCAAGUAAGAGCUUGAGUGGAAAAUGGCGGGAAAGAAAAGAAGGUUCUAGAAAGAUUAAUCGCUAGGCAGCAAGAGAGGAAGAAACAGGAACUGAUCUGGGCCCGGAACUUGCCAGUUUCUCGCCACGUUCGUUCGCGACGAGCACGAGGGAAGAGCGAAGGCAGCUGACAGUUUGUCACACCUUCAUUCAGGCGGAAGUGCAGCAGUCAACGGCAGUCUCGUUUCAAAGGUUGGAGCCUCGCCAUGUUUCUGACUGGACUAGAAGAAGAAUUGUUCAACAAAAUUUCCUUACAUGGACGCUGGUGUCGUCCGCCCCUGCUGCUCGAGUUUGUAUCACACAUGGUGGAGCUCGGCAAGCCUGCUACACCUGUCGACAUCAGCACGCAGCUGCCUCUGUCGUCAUAGCAACCACGGCUGUGUAUACAUGUGGGUGGAUUGAUGUCUGUCUGCCGAGACUAACGCUUCGCCUCAUGUGAACUUUGAACUCUGCUGUUAGUCUCAGCGAGACAUUACCACCAGACUUCCGGACGAGCAGCACGAAGAUGGAAUUUAACAAGAAUAUAAUUCAACUAUAUAAUGACCACUCUGUUGACACUGCCAUUGUCGUCGUUCGCUAAACCGGAAGCUGUUUGCUCUAGAGACUCGUUCUAUGAGUUUCUUGAAACAUCGCCAGCAAGCAGUCCAGUAAAACAAGAUGGGCGGACUCCUGUUGCAGUUCGUGGCCAGGUUUGCCUCCUAAUCUGUCUCCAGGUGAGUCGUCUCAUCAUCAACUGGGUCCUUGCUACCUGACCAGAAUGUUGCUCCAUGGUUCAGUGCAACAUAUUUAAAAAUUAGCUGGAGUAUCCCAGUCUUUCGUGUGACUGUAGGUACACAGUGUAUUUGCACAUAGUAGAUCAAAGAGAGGCGAGAGAUACCGCCGGCCGUUCGUAGUGAAGUAGGAGAUAAAAAUUACGGUCGUGCCAGCUACCUUACUCAUUCGCCAUCAUUUGCCCUCCAAUUUCAAUGAGUUUCCACCAUCAGUACUCUUUUAAAUUGUCCAAGUUUGCUCGGCGUAGAACGGGUACGUCGAACACUGAAAAGGAUGAGGUUCUUUUCCUUUCAUUUGUAACUAAUUCUAACCGAAAGAGUAAACAUCCUUGGCGAAAGGAGUAUUCUUUCUAAAGCUUACCAGCUUUGGACAUUAACUGCCUCCCUUCCCCCAACACACACACACUGAGUAACACAGAUUGCCACUCUGUGUUGUAUAUAUAUACACACACAUAAAAGAUGCAUCAGAGCAGAAAGAUGCCUUGGAUAUACCCUAGUACCGGUGUCAAUCUUUUUUUCUUCCUCAGUGUGUUCUAUAGUACAUCCGUACAUCAAGCGAAAGUUUCAGCGAGAUAAGGUGAGAGCACAGAAUUAGAAGAGAUCACAGACGUCAGAGGUAGGUCAGUUUCAGCAUGAUAUUUAUGUAUACAAAGAAGUAAUUCGUCUUUUUUAAAGUUACAGGUGUAAAGUGAGAUAUGAACCUACUAGAGGUAGGUGUCAGGCACUAAGCAGACGCAUUUCAUCCCCACACACACAUAUUCUGCUCACACACAACUUUAAGGAGAUUUCACCCCACUCAUUUUUACUAUUUAGUAUUUUUUUUUUAAGUUAAAAUGGUCAAUGUAUAUAUUUUGUGCUUAUAUUAGGACAUACAAAUAGCACAAAUAAACAUCAUUUAGAAUGACAACAUCCCGGAAAAUAAAUUACCGAAAGCUCGGGCGUAUGAUCAGCCAGGACUGGCCAGUCGCUCACUCAGCUGCUAGUCGUGUACCUUACUCAUUUUUGAGAACACGACAACAACGUAAACAAGCUGCUCCUGGGGUCACGUGACUGUGCGCGUGGUGGUGCUGCUUUAGGAGUCGAGCAGCAGAGGCGGUGCUAAAGCUCAUGCAAGUAAAACUAAUUUCUCAGACGGCAGUUCUCAGAAAACCAACUGUCACGGGAUUUAUGAAGUGUUUUUUAAGAACAAUUUUUUUCAGAAAUAGGUUCCGAGUGGUCGGUCUACCAGGACCGUGAACUUUCUUAAUUGCACGACACAUUUGUUGUUGUUGAGAGCACCUGCACAUAAAGCUGUCAUAAAGCAAUCACGUGCUUUAGUGUCAUGCACUUUGCCAGGUGCUGCACAGCUUCUACCAGUGCAUGCGUCCGUAUUUGCAGGCAGGCCUGACGAGAGGGAGGGUAGGUGUACCCCGGUCCGCGGCUGUGGAGGGGCCCGGUCUUCUCAAGUAAUUUGUUUUACGAAAGGGAGAAGAAGAGGCUUCGCGAGGAACGAAUAAAUAAAUUUAGAUAUCAGAGAACGCUGUAAAGUAUAGGCUUCACCCCCCUGCUAGAGUUACUGCUAAGUCCAUUAAUUAAUUAAUUGUACCCAAAUAACGAAUGUGAUAUCACACGUGCAUUAAGGUAAAAGAUAUAAACUUGUAUUGUCUUUAAUCUUCGUUUCUUCAGUAUGUCGAAUUGUUCACGUCCACUGGUGACAUUUUGCUUUAGGAGUUCGAAUAGUUCGGUCUUCCCUUCAUUUCCCCUCAUUUACUGACCACUGGCACAUACACAGCUCUAGAAUGUUCUUCUCAAGCAGUAUUGUAAGCCUAGUUGUCUACACUUUUACUGUCAAACAGACGUUUGUUGUCUAUGCUACUUUACUAAACGAAAUGCAGAUAUUGCCAGUCGAAUUAUAACUUGCAAGCAUGUUGUUAUUUACUGGAAAAAUAAUAAACAAUUACAAUUAAUGAUUAACGCAGGGUGCCCGGAAAGGUCAUCUACCCCGGGGCUCGUGCUGGCUUUCGAAUACUGUAUCAUGUUUGCAGACCCAGUGGCUUAGAACAUGGUUUGCCCCCAUCCAUGUACCUCCGGUGUACUGAAAGCAGUUUAUCUCUGUCUCUUUCUUUCCCCUCUCUGUUGCUGGGGAGGGUUGAAUGUACCCUCGUUACGAGAAAAGCAGGGAGAGCGGUUUCUAAGCCCUCGAUCACAUAAACUUCUUUCAGAUAUAAACACACCACAACUAUCUUGUCCUCAUAGUCUGUAGACUGCUCUAGUCAAUAUGAGCUUCGUCUUGUCUCUUGUUAGUUCCUGUCUGAUAUUAUUGCAAAUUUACAAUCUAUAACUCGGCAAGGUAAUCGUAUUUUCUGAGCAAUUCAUUUCUCAGAAACGAGAAAAAUCGCUGUGACCUUGCGAGAGCGAAUAUCAUGUCAAGGCAAUACAUAGAGGAUUGGAGUGAGUUCCCGGGGAUCAGGGGCUCAGAGUUGCGAGGUCAGAGUAUGUCAGCUCCUGUCCCAAAGAUUUCUCGAAAAAAGACCUCUCUGUGAGUGUGUGUGUGUGUGCUUGUAGUGUGCAUUAAUUCUCAUGAAAUCUCUCCAAAGGGGUAGUCUAGUGCGUGUAAGUGUGAGACCAUCAUCAGUAGAACGAUUUCAUAUGAGUAUGAAGGGGCCUCGGUGUAUUUAUUUCUUGUUCUCGGGAGCGACUGUCGCUGUAAUGUUGUUUUUGUUGCAAGUGUUAUCCGGAGUAUGUACCCCUCUCCUUGACUAGCGCGUGGUGCGUGCUGUGUGUCCACUGCCCAUGGCCUGCCUCCUCUCGUCUGCCUCUCGAUCAGGCUCUUGAAACAGAAAGCUUCUACCAUCCUCCUUCACAAAGAUUGCGCAUCAGAUUAAGUCCAUUUGAAGUCGCGGCCACCAGACUUUGCUAGAUGUUCUCUCUAGUCUAUGCUGUAGACACAAAUGUGUACACGCAUGCGUACACACAUCAGUAGUUGCAGCUAUAGGGAGAUACCAAUACUAUAUAGCUCGGUGUGUAGCUAUGACUAUAGGGAGAUACCAAUACUAUAUAGCUCGGUGUGUAGCUAUGACUUUAUGGGGAUACUAGCCCUACAUAGCUCGGUAUGUAAGUAGUAUAGGCAUGUUGCAUCCAACCCCCAUUUGGGGAGCCGGAAGGGGAGCCGUGACGUCACCGCCGCCAUCUUGCCGGAAGUCGGUGGGGGCGGCCAUCUUGUCGCCAUCUUGCCGGAAG
Molecule: long non-coding RNA, 6961 nt
Organism: Pomacea canaliculata
Lineage: Eukaryota; Metazoa; Mollusca; Gastropoda; Architaenioglossa; Ampullariidae
Exons: 5
Source: RefSeq, a predicted model, not a curated record